AGCACUGGCCCCCAUAUUUACUUUUAAAUAUAAUCAACCUUUGUAUCUCCGAGACCUAAAAUAAACUGUAGGUUGUUAAUAAAAUUGGAUAAAAUGUAAUUGAUUUUCUUUUCCUCUGUUUGUAAAGGACAAGCCAUAAUUCAACCUACACCGGAGAAUGCUUACAAAGUUAGAAAAUGGGAUUGAUGAAGAAAGAACCCAAGAAAAGACACAAAUAAGGAAAAGUGAGUGAGUAUUUUCUCCUCGUGUUUUCUCAUGGGCUUCACAUGAUCAGUCUACAGCGGCAAUCAACGUGGAGUGUUCCAUUCAUUGCUAAGAUGUCAGUUGGCAGCAGGUGGACGGACAGAAGUUGUUGGGAACUUCGUCUUCACGGGUCGCCCAUAUGAUACCAGCUUUGCUGAUUCUGGCAAACUCCACACCAGGCUUGCAAAGUCUCCACCUGCUUACGGAAGCACAAAUGGACCUGCUGAGCUCUCAGACCACGGAAACCUGCUCCUUCUCACCCUGUGCCAGCAGAUUUAGCACCGCCUCCGACAGUCGGUCCACAGCCUGGAGCACAAGGAAGAUUUUGGAACUUUCGGAGGUCCCCUCGCGUAUGGGCCCAGCGUUGUCUUGUGCUGCAGAGAUCUUGUGCUGAGAUUGUUUCAACUCAGUACGGAAGGACUCUGCCCGUGACGGUUCUGAUAAACAAUUGCUGAUCUGUGACUCAUCAAAACUACAUCUCAGUGGACAAAUCAGGCUUGCUGAAGAAUUCCAGGGGCUGACCGCAGGGAAGUGGCUGGAGUUACAAGACCUGACCAGGAGCUGCGACCACCAGCUGCCAACAGUCGAGCCUUAGAUCAGAGGGACCACCCGUUGACCCGGGAAACGUGCUAGGCAAGCAUCCUAGUUCAUUCUCUUCCCUCACUUCCCCCCUCCUCACUUAUGCUUUAAAAAUGCUAAGUAGCAAGGGAGAGCGGGAAACACUUUUGAGACUAAAGAUGGCUAUUUCCCCCUCAAGGUUGCUGCCUUUUUUUUUUUUUUUUUUUGACAGGCAGAGUUAAACAGUGAGAGAGAGAGACAGAGAAAAAGGUCUUCCCUCUGAUGGUUCACUUCCCUAAUGGCCGCCACGGAAGCCAGGAGCCAGGUGCUUCUCCUGGUCUCCCAUGCGGGUGCAGGGCCCAAGCACUUGGGCCAUCCUCCACUGCACUCCCGGGCCACAGCAGAGAGCUGGACAGGAAGAGGGGCAACCGGGACUAGAACCCGGCGCCCAUAUGGAUGCCAGCGCCGCAUGUAGAGGAUUAACGAAGUGAGCCACGGCGGCGCCAGCCUGGUUGCUGCCUUCUUGAACAAGCCUGUUUCUCUGCAUCAGCUCUCAUCUCUGGUGAAUUGGCCAUUCCGUGUUAAGCACUCUGGUGCAUAGCAUUUCCUGUAGCGAAAAGGUGCUGUUAAAUCGCAAAAUGUUUUUAUAGUAUUAUUAUAUAAUCAGUAUUUCCUCCAGCACUUGCUGUCAGAAGCAUGGCUUUGCUAAGGUGCAGGUUAAUCAUUUUUGAAGGUCAUUGUUUGAGAGUGUUAGUGAUGUAUGUUUAACUCAAACAUGACCUCCCCCUAGCUCUGUAAAAUGUUGAGGUGUUGAUAUGACAAAGCUGUUGCAACUGGGACGAAUACAUGGAUCCUACCCUGUGCAAGGCAGGAUGAUCUUGGCUGCAUCUUUUCCCAGCUCUCUCUGUCUUAUGGCAUUUGCAAACUGAACUGGGCAAAUGGAAGCACACAGGAAAUUAACAAGUUAAGAAAAUGCAAAGAGAAAACAUUUAGUACAUGAUCAAUUGUCAAAUGAACUCAGAGGAAGAGAGAAGAGGAGAAGAAAGGGAAAGAAAGAAGGGGAGAGGAGGGAGGGAGAGAAAGAGAAGGGGAGAGAAACAGAGGGAGAGAGAGAGAGAGAGAGAGAUGGGUAGUGUGAUGAGAGCAAGAGUGUCCCCAAGGAGUCUGGACACUGGGGCGAGUUUUAUAGAUGCCUAUCCUGCCUCUGCUAAUUACCACCUGAGUGACCCUGCACGGAUAACCUGACCCUGGCAAGCCCCUAUUUUAACAU
Non-coding RNA from Oryctolagus cuniculus (rabbit), 2071 nucleotides. The record is from RefSeq and is a predicted model, not a curated record. NCBI's taxonomy places the organism in Eukaryota, Metazoa, Chordata, Mammalia, Lagomorpha, Leporidae.